This 493-nucleotide ribosomal RNA is filed under the name uncultured soil bacterium. RNAcentral's name for it is "bacterial SSU rRNA". It matches the Rfam family "Bacterial small subunit ribosomal RNA", at positions 26 to 518 of the family's 1533-position model. The record is from RNAcentral.
AGGACGAACGCUGGCGGCGUGCUUAACACAUGCAAGUCGAGCGGAAAGGCCUUUCGGGGUACUCGAGCGGCGAACGGGUGAGUAACACGUGAGUAAUCUGCCCAUCGCUUCAGGAUAGCCAUCGGAAACGGUGAUUAAUACUGGAUAUGACAUUCCUUCGCAUGUUGGGGUGUGGAAAGUUUUUUCGGCGGUGGAUGUGCUCGCGGCCUAUCAGCUUGUUGGUGGGGUAAUGGCCUACCAAGGCUUUGACGGGUAGCCGGCCUGAGAGGGUGACCGGCCACACUGGGACUGAGACACGGCCCAGACUCCUACGGGAGGCAGCAGUGGGGAAUAUUGGACAAUGGGCGGAAGCCUGGAUCCAGCAACGCCGCGUGAGGAUGACGGCCUUCGGGUUGUAAACCGUCUUUCAGCACAGACGAAGUUUUGCGUUUUUGGUGUAGUGACGGUAGUGUGCAAGAAGAAGGACCGGCCAACCGUACGUGCCAGCAGCCGC